CAGGAUAAAAUCUUCAAGGGGAUAUUAGAUUCAGCUAUCCCUAAAGAUUGGCAUCUUAUUAUUUUGGACCCAAAAGAUUGCUUCUUUUCUAUUCCCCUGGCCCCCCAGGAUCACAAAUGUUUUGCUUUCUC
This 131-nucleotide small RNA is filed under the name Marmota monax (woodchuck). Lineage: Eukaryota; Metazoa; Chordata; Mammalia; Rodentia; Sciuridae. The record is from RNAcentral.